CUAUGCCUGCGUAAGUUGAAUCCAGAGGAAACUCUGGUGGAGGACCGUGGCGAUUCUGGCGUGCAAUUAGAUCGUCAAAUGCGAGUGUAG
Molecule: non-coding RNA, 90 nt
Filed under: Schistocephalus solidus
Lineage: Eukaryota; Metazoa; Platyhelminthes; Cestoda; Diphyllobothriidea; Diphyllobothriidae
Description: Eukaryotic large subunit ribosomal RNA
Rfam family: Eukaryotic large subunit ribosomal RNA
Source: Rfam by way of RNAcentral